This 407-nucleotide ribosomal RNA is filed under the name uncultured bacterium. Its description in RNAcentral is "partial 16S ribosomal RNA". It matches the Rfam family "Bacterial small subunit ribosomal RNA", at positions 30 to 526 of the family's 1533-position model. The record is from RNAcentral.
AUUGAACGCUAGCGGGAUGCCUUACACAUGCAAGUCGAACGGAGUGGCGAACGGGUGAGUAAUUUAUCGGAACGUGCCCUGUCUCUGGGGAUAACUACGCUAAAGCGUAGCUAAUCCCGCAUCCUAUUGGAGCGGCCGAUAUCGUAUUAGCUAGUUGGUAAGGUAACGGCUCACCAAGGCGACGAACCAUAGCAGAUUUGAGAGGACGACCAGCCACACUGGGACUGAGACACGGCCCAGAAUCCUACGUGAGGCAGCAGUGGGGAAUUUUGGACAAUGGGGGAAACCCUGAUCCAGCCAUCCCGCGUGUGAGAUGAAGGCCUUCGGGUUGUAAAGCACUUUUGGCAGGAAAGCGGUACCUAAAGAAUAAGCACCGGCUAACUACGUGCCAGCAGCCGCGGUAAUUC